RNAcentral lists this ribosomal RNA (1048 nucleotides) under uncultured bacterium. Its description in RNAcentral is "bacterial SSU rRNA". It matches the Rfam family "Bacterial small subunit ribosomal RNA", at positions 339 to 1394 of the family's 1533-position model. The record is from RNAcentral.
CUACGGGAGGCAGCAGUGAGGAAUAUUGGACAAUGGAUGGAAAUCUGAUCCAGCCAUGCCGCGUGCAGGAAGACGGCCCUAUGGGUUGUAAACUGCUUUUGUAUGGGAGCAAUAAGGUCUAUGCGUAGACUGAUGAGAGUACCAUACGAAUAAGCAUCGGCUAACUCCGUGCCAGCAGCCGCGGUAAUACGGGGGAUGCAAGCGUUAUCCGGAUUUAUUGGGUUUAAAGGGUGCGUAGGCGGUUUGAUAAGUCAGCGGUGAAAUAUUUCAGCUUAACUGAAAGGGUGCCGUUGAUACUGUCAGGCUUGAAUAUGGUUGCUGUGGGUGGAAUGUGUGGUGUAGCGGUGAAAUGCUUAGAUAUCACACAGAACACCGAUUGCGAAGGCAGCUCACAAAGCCAUUAUUGACGCUGAUGCACGAAAGUGUGGGGAUCAAACAGGAUUAGAUACCCUGGUAGUCCACACUGUAAACGAUGAUAACUCGCUGUCGGCGAUACACAGUCGGUAGCCAAGCGAAAGCGAUAAGUUAUCCACCUGGGAGUACGACCGCAAGGUGAACUCAAAGGAAUUGACGGGGCCGCACAAGCGGAGGACAUGUGGUUUAAUUCGAUGAUACGCGAGGAACCUUACCCGGGCUCGAACGGUGCAGGAAUACGUCAGAGAUGAUGUAGCCAGCAAUAGUCUGUAUCGAGGUGCUGCAUGGUUGUCGUCAGCUCGUGCCGUGAGGUGUCGGCUUAAGUGCCAUAACGAGCGCAACCCUUGUCGUUAGUUGUCAUCAGGUAAUGCUGGGAACUCUAGCGAGACUGCCACCGUAAGGUGUGAGGAAGGGGGGGAUGACGUCAAGUCAGCACGGCCCUUACGUCCGGGGCGACACACGUGUUACAAUGGUAGGUACAGAGGGCAGCUACCCAGCAAUGGGGUGCGAAUCUCAAAAGCCUAUCUCAGUUCGGAUCGGAGUCUGCAACUCGACUCCGUGAAGCUGGAUUCGCUAGUAAUCGCGCAUCAGCCAUGGCGCGGUGAAUACGUUCCCGGGCCUUGUACACACCGCC